This 397-nucleotide ribosomal RNA is filed under the name Oreochromis aureus. Its description in RNAcentral is "SSU rRNA". It matches the Rfam family "Eukaryotic small subunit ribosomal RNA", at positions 60 to 434 of the family's 1831-position model. Lineage: Eukaryota; Metazoa; Chordata; Actinopteri; Cichliformes; Cichlidae. The record is from RNAcentral.
UAAGUACACGCGGCCGGUACAGUGAAACUGCGAAUGGCUCAUUAAAUCAGUUAUGGUUCCUUUGAUCGCUCAUCCGUUACUUGGAUAACUGUGGCAAUUCUAGAGCUAAUACAUGCAAACGAGCGCUGACCCUCCGGGUAUGCGUGCAUUUAUCAGACCCAAAACCCAUGCGGGGCGUCCUCUCGGGGGCGCCCCGGCCGCUUUGGUGACUCUAGAUAACCUCGAGCCGAUCGCUGGCCCUCCGUGGCGGCGACGUCUCAUUCGAAUGUCUGCCCUAUCAACUUUCGAUGGUACUUUAUGUGCCUACCAUGGUGACCACGGGUAACGGGGAAUCAGGGUUCGAUUCCGGAGAGGGAGCCUGAGAAACGGCUACCACAUCCAAGGAAGGCAGCAGGCG